UCCGUAGGUGAACCUGCGGAAGGAUCAUUACCUAGAGUUGCGGGCUUUGCCUGCCAUCUCUUACCCAUGUCUUUUGAGUACCUUCGUUUCCUCGGUGGGUUCGCCCGCCGGUUGGACAACACUUCAACCCUUUGUAAUUGAAAUCANCGUCUGAAAAAACUUAAUAGUUACAACUUUCAACAACGGAUCUCUUGGUUCUGGCAUCGAUGAAGAACGCAGCGAAAUGCGAUAAGUAGUGUGAAUUGCAGAAUUCAGUGAAUCAUCGAAUCUUUGAACGCACAUUGCGCCCCUUGGUAUUCCAUGGGGCAUGCCUGUUCGAGCGUCAUUUGUACCUUCAAGCUCUGCUUGGUGUUGGGUGUUUGUCUCGCCUCUGCGCGCAGACUCGCCUCAAAACGAUUGGCAGCCGGCGUAUUGAUUUCGGAGCGCAGUACAUCUCGCGCUUUGCACUCACAACGACGACGUCCAAAAAGUACAUUUUUUACACUCUUGACCUCGGAUCAGGUAGGGAUACCCGCUGAACUUAAGCAUAUCAAUAAGCGGAGGA
This 544-nucleotide ribosomal RNA is filed under the name uncultured Phyllosticta. Its description in RNAcentral is "eukaryotic LSU rRNA". The stretch from base 172 to 325 matches the Rfam family "5.8S ribosomal RNA". The record is from RNAcentral. Lineage: Eukaryota; Fungi; Ascomycota; Dothideomycetes; Botryosphaeriales; Phyllostictaceae.